GAAGCAGCAUAGCCCAGUGCUUAAGCGUGCAAGCUCGGAAGUGACACAGCUGGGUUCCAAUCCUAAAUUCUGCCUCUUGCCAGAUCUGCAUAAACUGGUGGCAAAUUACUUCACUUCUGCAAGCCGCUUGUGCCAUGCCUACAAAUACAGGAUAAGGAGACGUUUAUGGAGGUGACUUACCCAAGGUUUUCCAAGCUGGAUACACACCUGUUCAGGUUUACAUUUCAUGCUGUAAAAGGCUCACGCUGGCUCCAUGUGGAUUGGGGGGGGCAGGGAAAGGAGGCUGCAGUAACUCCUCACGAGAUGAUGACACCGAGAGUUUUAUCAGUGGGGGUGGAGAGAAAGGAACAGAGCAGAGACACAUUCUGGAAGCAGAACAGAUGGCACUUAAGAGACACUGGAUCUUAGAGGUCUUGGAUCUGCCAAAAACAUUUUUAUACUCGAUUCCUAAUUGGCUCUGGAAAUGGGGGCCUUGUGCUAGAGUACAUUUAGAAAGCACUGUUCUCAAGAAGUGGAGUCUUCACAGACAAUACGAUCUAUUGACUGAAAUGCAGCAGGAGGGUCAUUGGAGUUGGGGAAAUACCUUAAAGAAUUGACUCAGGAGACCCGUGUCCUCGGCUUGCUCUGACCACGUGUCAGCUGUGUGACC
This is a non-coding RNA of Kogia breviceps (pygmy sperm whale), 649 nucleotides long. The record is from RefSeq and is a predicted model, not a curated record. Lineage: Eukaryota; Metazoa; Chordata; Mammalia; Artiodactyla; Physeteridae.